Molecule: transfer RNA, 74 nt
Filed under: Aedes aegypti (yellow fever mosquito)
Lineage: Eukaryota; Metazoa; Arthropoda; Insecta; Diptera; Culicidae
Rfam family: tRNA
About the family: Transfer RNA (tRNA) molecules are approximately 80 nucleotides in length. Their secondary structure includes four short double-helical elements and three loops (D, anti-codon, and T loops).
Source: Rfam by way of RNAcentral
CCUCUCAUGGCGUAGUGGUUAACGCGCCACAACUAGAGAUCGGGGAGUCGUGAGUUCGAUUCUCACUGAGAAGA